Molecule: ribosomal RNA, 564 nt
Filed under: uncultured bacterium
Lineage: Bacteria
Description: bacterial SSU rRNA
Rfam family: Bacterial small subunit ribosomal RNA
Source: RNAcentral
CCUACGGGAGGCAGCAGUGGGGAAUUUUCCGCAAUGGGCGAAAGCCUGACGGAGCAAUACCGCGUGAGGGAAGAAUGCCUGUGGGUUGUAAACCUCUUUUCUCAAGGAAGAAGUUCUGACGGUACUUGAGGAAUAAGCAUCGGCUAACUCCGUGCCAGCAGCCGCGGUAAUACGGAGGAUGCAAGCGUUGUCCGGAAUCACUGGGCGUAAAGCGUCUGUAGGUGGCCUAGAAAGUCUGCUGUUAAAUCUCAGGGCUCAACCCUGAAUAUGCAGUGGAAACUCCUAAGCUAGAGUAUGGUAGGGGUAGAGGGAAUUCCCAGUGUAGCGGUGAAAUGCGUAGAUAUUGGGAAGAACACCAGUGGCGAAAGCGCUCUACUGGGCCAUUACUGACACUCAGAGACGAAAGCUAGGGGAGCGAAUGGGAUUAGAUACCCCAGUAGUCCUAGCCGUAAACGAUGGAUACUAGAUGUUGCGCGUAUCGAUCCGUGCAGUAUCGUAGCUAACGCGUUAAGUAUCCCGCCUGGGGAGUAUGCUCGCAAGAGUGAAACUCAAAUGAAUUGACGG